UGUGUCAGGUAGAAAUCAACCUUAUGUCAGUGCAUUACAUGUACAUGCAAAAGACUGAUUGAUUCAAAUACGAAAUAAAUGAUGAAUUUUGAUUUGUUUAGUAGGAUUCUUAAAUAAACUCAUUUUUCAAACAGUUAGGGAUGACAUCAAAAGUUCAAUGCAGGAUAAAAAACUUAAUUCACAUAGUUUUUUCACUGACCCCACCCCCCUCUUAACUUAGUUUGGGGAAAAUUGAUUUACCAAUAGGGUUAUAUGUAAAAAUUGAUUUUAGAUAUACAAAUCUUGUAGAAUUUUAACCCCCCCCCUCCCACUCCCAAACUAUUUGAUUUAAAUUGUUCAUCCUACAUUGAUCUUUUGAUGUCGUCCCUUACAAACAGAUGUAUUGAUAAUCAUUUUCUUAAGGUUGAUUCUUAUCAGAC
This 419-nucleotide long non-coding RNA is filed under the name Mytilus galloprovincialis (Mediterranean mussel). The record is from RNAcentral. Lineage: Eukaryota; Metazoa; Mollusca; Bivalvia; Mytilida; Mytilidae.